This 332-nucleotide long non-coding RNA is filed under the name Sorghum bicolor (sorghum). Its description in RNAcentral is "long non-coding RNA (SBIC_LNC015105)". The record is from RNAcentral. Lineage: Eukaryota; Viridiplantae; Streptophyta; Magnoliopsida; Poales; Poaceae.
UAGGCUAGCAAACAAGCUAUAUAGUGUUCCAACUUACAGCAAAACACAAGCGAAAACAAAAAGAAAGCGUAAAGUUUGACUAAGUAAGGCCAAUAAAUCCAGUUGACAGCCAUCCAUUGGAACAAAAAAAAUACAAAGCUGACGCCUCUAGAUGCUGCCCAACUAGGGCAAGCUGAUCCCGUUGAUCAUCACGCCGUUGCAAUCUUGCCCACUGCCGGAGCUAGUAAGUUCUCCUAAAAAGUACCUGCAAAAAAGGUUUUGGUCUACAUUUGUCAAAUCCACCUCAUUUCUUAUUAGCCACACUGCCCAACAAAGUGCCGACGCUGCUGUCA